Molecule: ribosomal RNA, 253 nt
Filed under: uncultured prokaryote
Description: partial 16S ribosomal RNA
Rfam family: Bacterial small subunit ribosomal RNA
Source: RNAcentral
ACGGAGGGGGCGAGCGUUAUUCGGAAUUACUGGGCGUAAAGGGUGCGUAGGCGGUUAGUUAAGUCUGUUGUGAAACCCCCGGGCUCAACCUGGGAAUGGCAAUGGAUACUGGCUGGCUAGAGUGUGUCAGAGGAUGGUGGAAUUCCCGGUGUAGCGGUGAAAUGCGUAGAGAUCGGGAGGAACAUCAGUGGCGAAGGCGGCGAUCUGGGAAGAUACUGACGCUGAGGUGCGAAAGCGUGGGGAGCAAACAGGA